GACGAACGCUGGCGGCGUGCUUAACACAUGCAAGUCGAACGAAGAGCGAUGGAAGCUUGCUUCUAUCUAUCUUAGUGGCGAACGGGUGAGUAACGCGUAAUCAACCUGCCCUUCAGAGGGGGACAACAGUUGGAAACGACUGCUAAUACCGCAUACGAUCUAAACUCGGCAUCGAGGAUAGAUGAAAGGUGGCCUCUACAUGUAAGCUAUCACUGAAGGAGGGGAAUGCGUCUGAUUAGCUAGUUGGUGGGGUAACGGCCCACCAAGGCGAUGAUCAGUAGCCGGUCUGAGAGGAUGAACGGCCACAUUGGGACUGAGACACGGCCCAGACUCCUACGGGAGGCAGCAGUGGGGAAUCUUCCGCAAUGGACGAAAGGCUGACGGGGCAACGCCGCGUGAGUGAUGACGGCCUUCGGGUUGGAAAGCUCUGUUAAUCGGGACGAAAGGCCUUCUUGCGAAUAGUGAGAAGGAUUGACGGUACCGGAAUAGAAAGCCACGGCUAACUACGUG
Molecule: ribosomal RNA, 510 nt
Filed under: uncultured bacterium
Lineage: Bacteria
Description: partial 16S ribosomal RNA
Rfam family: Bacterial small subunit ribosomal RNA
Source: RNAcentral